RNAcentral lists this ribosomal RNA (552 nucleotides) under uncultured fungus. RNAcentral describes it as "eukaryotic LSU rRNA". The stretch from base 187 to 340 matches the Rfam family "5.8S ribosomal RNA". Lineage: Eukaryota; Fungi. The record is from RNAcentral.
AAGUCGUAACAAGGUCUCCGUUGGUGAACCAGCGGAGGGAUCAUUACUGAGUACUACACUCUCUACCCUUUGUGAACUAUUAUACCUGUUGCUUCGGCGGCGCCCGCAAGGGUGCCCGCCGGUCUCAUCAGAAUCUCUGUUUUCGAACCCCGACGAUACUUCUGAGUGUUCUUAGCGAACUGUCAAAACUUUUAACAACGGAUCUCUUGGCUCCAGCAUCGAUGAAGAACGCAGCGAAACGCGAUAUGUAAUGUGAACUGCAGAAUUCAGUGAAUCAUCGAAUCUUUGAACGCACAUGGCGCCUUCCAGUAUCCUGGGAGGCAUGCCUGUCCGAGCGUCGUUUCAACCCUCGAGCCCCUGUGGCCCGGCGUUGGGGAUCUGCCACGGCAGGCCCCUAAAACCAGUGGCGGACCCGAAGGGCCCUCUCCUUUGCGCAGUAGCAUUCGCCUCGCAUCGGGAGUCCUCGGCGUCCUGCCUCUAAACCCCCCACAAGCCCGCUUCGGCGGCACCAAGGUUGACCUCGGAUCAGGUAGGAAUACCCGCUGAACUUAA